Glycine soja is the source of this 2300-nucleotide long non-coding RNA. RefSeq lists it as uncharacterized. The transcript has 4 exons. Lineage: Eukaryota; Viridiplantae; Streptophyta; Magnoliopsida; Fabales; Fabaceae. The record is from RefSeq and is a predicted model, not a curated record.
UUAACUCCUCUAAUUAUGUGUGAUUAUUACUAUCAGUCUAUAUAAACAAGCAUAUGUUGUGUUCUCCGACUCACAGUUUACACACAAAUAUCCCUAAGUUUAUCCUAUUUUACAUAAACAAAUUAAUUUCCUAUCCUAAACUAGAAUAUGACUACAUGAGAUAAAAAAUUUCUUCAUAAACCAAUGUCUAUAGCUGAAAUCACGGGCAAUGGCAGCAAAAGUCUAUAGGUCUAGCUGUGUAGGGGACAAGGAAAGAACAUGAGUACUGCCUCAAGGGAAGAACAACAAACAGAACUGAACGCAGUCUCAACAAGGACAUUGUAUUUUAGCAGAUACUAGGUUUCUGCAACAUGUCAGCUUCUCCUCUGGAUUCAACUGCACAGACCGGACAGUCAAGUGGGGGUGAUUGGCAAGAACAAGUGUAUCAACAUAUUAAAUCUAUGAAAGAAAGUUACUUGCUAGAGUUGAAUGAAAUGUACCAAAAGAUUGCUACCCAACUUUAACAGGUAUGAUUUGUCAGACAAUUUUUAAUAACUGCUAUUGAUAAAUAAUCUUUUUCCAUUAUUGUUAUUCUUGCAAACUCUAGAGAUUGUAGCAUGUUCUAAGCCCUAUAUCAGGUCAUCACCUUUCCUCAAAGGGAGUCCUUUAUUGUUGUUUUUUCCUCGUAAAUUAUUUUUACUAUGUUUAACCCUGUAUCUUUCCUUUAUCAGCACAAUUCCCUUCCAACACAACCAAAGUUAGAUCAACUUGAAAAGAUGAAUGUAUUUAAAAUGCUGGAACGUAUUAUAGCAUUCCUUCAGGUUUCUAAGAGCAACAUCUCACCCAAUUUCAUGGAGAAACUAGGUUCAUAUGAGAACCAUAUUAUAAACUUCAUAAAUAGAGAAACUAGGUUCAUAUGAGAACCAUAUUAUAAACUUCAUAAAUAGAAAAAGACAUAAGAAAGCUAUGCCUCCAAUGCAGUCAAGGCAACUUCCCCUACCUCAUAUUGAUUGGCAAUAAGAAGUGUAUCAAAAGGUAAGGUAAUGUAGUUUUUUGUUAUCAUUUUAUUUCUAAGUGAAUUGGAUUGAACAGCAGAUAUUUGUCAAAUGAACAAAACCCAAAAUGAUGAAGAAUGAUGGCUUUUAUUGUGAGAAAUUAUCAAGAAGAAAAUGAAACUCUUCAGUAGUCUUGUAGGAAAAAUAAUGAGAACUCUUCUUAAAUCCAUACUACUCAAUGUUUAUAUAUAUUGAUGAACCUUCACAUAAUAUUUGAAAAAAUGUGUAAUGUAGCAGUAGAAAUUACUUGUGCUUUACCCAAUAAGGAUUUUUUUUGUUUUUUUUUCUAGAGUUAAUUUCUUUUAGUGCUGUCGUUUUAUUCUCUAUUGGUUAUUUGUAUUGAGAAUAUCUGGUAAUUGUUAACAUGUCUUUGUGUUGAUAUGAAUGGUAUUUCUUUAGUGAGAUUUUUGAAGUUUUCAAUUUAAUAUUCAAAGUCAUGGUUGGUGUGCUUAAGUUCCACAUCUAGUAGUAUGGUACGCUUGAUGGAGUAUUAAGUGACAUGGUUCUCCAAGUGUUUAGGUGCUUAUCUUACAUGCAUGAUGUGUGCACAAUUAAGCAUGAAAUUUAUAAUGCAUUACAAAAUGAGAAAUUUUUUAUCAUCCUUCCUUAGUGGAACAAUGGUACAAAUUUUCUUGCACAAGAGACGACAAGGUUUCUAAUUAACCGAUCCCUAUUUGAUUUGGUUGAUUUUAUUUUGCAGAUUAAGUCCAUGAAACAAAAUUACUUGCCAGAGUUGAAUGAAAUGUACCAAAAAUCUGCUAGUAAACUUCAGCGGGAUACUCCCUUCCACAACAACCGAAGUCAUAUAAACUCGAAAAGUUGAAGAAAUUUAUGAAGAUGUUGGAAUGUGCUAUAGCAUUCCUUCAGGUUUCAAAGAGCAAUAUCUCACUUAAUUACAGGUUGAAACUGGAUUCAUGUGAGAAGCAGAUUAUAAAGAUCAUAAAUAUAAAUAGACCUAACAAAAUCGUGCCUCCACUGCAAUAUGGACAAUUUCCCCCACCUCAUAUGCAGUCUCAUUAAAAUCAAGUGAACUCUCAAUUGCAAACAACAAAUAUGCAAGGAGGCUUUGUAGCAGCAACCCAGUAGAAUAAUAUCACAAGCUUAAGAAUAUGGAAUUGAACAAAGUUAACAAAAAUGGUAGCAUGCAGCAAGCUUCAUGUGCUUAGGAUACAGUAGAACAUGAAAGUUUGUAUUAGAGUCAAGUUGCGAACUCAACUCAUUUCUAGACCUUUUUUUUUUUUCUGAAUUCUCAUUUAGUGUCAACUA